AGUAGCGUGCGGAAGUGCUGGCUUGUGCCAGGUUAGCCGGCGGAAGGGAGGAGCUGCGCGUACCACAUCAGGUUUUUGGCUGGAGUGUGAGCAGUAAUCCCAAGAGCUGGAUAUUGACACCGUGAAACAGGGAUAAAAGGAGAGUGAAGAUGAAGCCAGACAUGCCCCUGUUGCCCAGGCAAAGAGAGCCAGCACCACGUAACCAGACAGCUGUAAACCUUCAACUGCAGGCCACUGACAGGAAUCUAUAGACCAUCAGUUUGGGAAUCCUCUGCUUUAGACCUUUAAAUGUGUCAACAUUUAUAUGAGCUCUGUACAGAACAGGAUCGCAGAAGGAAGCUGUGGGCACCCUUGGAAAAUCUGAGCUGCUUGUGAAGCUGUAGACACUGCAUGUUUAUGGACUUGGUUUUCUAAGCGAUCUCCAAAGCUUGAACGGAUUACAGUGAUAUUUUAACAAGGCUGCUGGCAUCCAUCACUAGCUUUCACUUACUGAGAAAGCUAAAAGAUGGAAGAGUGUAAUUAUUUCCACGUAAGCUAAAUUCUAGUGGCUGAUUAUCACGAGGACAUUAACACUUUAAACUUCUUAAUCUCCUCUAAGCCAAACAGGUAAGUCUUACAGGCUUCUCUUCUAGCUUUCAUUUUGGUAAGGGAGUGGGGGCUCGCAGGGGACUGGUGGUGAAGGGGAAUGUGUUAGGUACGGAGGCAAACUGAGUUUCUUAAAUGGUAUAUAUGCAGUAGCACUUGCAUGUUGUCAUUUUCUGUCAGGUUAUAAAUCUACUGCUUGUAGGCUAAAAAAUUUCCAUGGCAAUAUUGUUG
This 816-nucleotide long non-coding RNA is filed under the name Struthio camelus australis. RNAcentral describes it as "lncRNA (ENSSCUG00000005131.1)". Lineage: Eukaryota; Metazoa; Chordata; Aves; Struthioniformes; Struthionidae. The record is from RNAcentral.